UACCCAGGAGCAAAGUGAGGCCAGGUCAGCCAAGAGCACUGCUGGAUCCUUACAAAGAAAACAAAUUAAGUGACAUCAGCUGUAGACUGCCUAUAACAGGGCCAGCAGCACCCAGUCAGCCACAAGACAUUACUCCAGAGACCUACAGGUAACUGUGAGUGCGCCUCCCAGGACCAGCAUGAGCCGGGAUCCUCUUCCCUGACACCCCUGGAUGCCUCCUUAGAGAAAGAAGCAGCCGCUGGAGAAGGCCAUCUGAGAAACUGAAUCCAGUUCUGCAUUUCCUGUGACUGCCAGACACUUCCGCCCAGAAGUCCCAUUGACACCUCAACUCAGUAGGACUAAAACUAGAACUUCUUCUCCAACUCACUCAUUCUACUACCGCAGAUAUUCACUCAAAAUCCCAUCAAAUUCUUCCUUCAACUUGUUAGCCACAUUUGUUAAGAUGAGAUCAUGGCCAGGUUCCUUGAUUUAACAAUCAUUCGAGAAUAAAAAGUCAUCCAAGGAUUCUGGGAAGAUGGCAGAGUAGGAAGCACCAGGAAUCUGUCUCCCCACCUAGAUAAUAAUUGUAUUGGCAGAAUCUGUCUGAUAUUAUAUUAUUUUGGAACUUUGUGGAGUUUACUGAAGACUUGCAACUUCCAAGGGAAGGCAUGGACAGUAAAUGGAGUCAAGUUCGGCUCUUAGCACAGUAACAGCUACCCAUCUCCUACCCCCAGCCUUGUGGCCGACACUGUGCAUAUGUUCCUGGAGCAGCCUGCCCACAGCUGGCAGGCCAGAGAGAACCCUGUCCUCCAAAUGCUCUGCAAACUGAUUGAUGCCUCUGAUCACAAAGAUGCAGACAAAAAGGUGGGCAGUCAUUGUUGCUCCUCUCCCCCAUUGUUUCAAGCCCCUCCCCUUCCAGUUAAAGUAACUUCUAGGGAAUUUAAAAAGCCAAUGCCCUUUUCUCCCCUCUCAUUUUCCUUUUUCCCUUUUGAAUGCCAGAUAUUAAAGACUAAGACAUUGAAAAACAAUUGCAUAUAUGGGGAAAAUUAGAAAGUUACCAUGCAUUUUCAAGGAAAGGCUCAGAAAGGAUCUGAGAAGACCUUAACUUUAUACCUCAGAGGGAUCCUUGGCAUAGAGACAGCCUACAAAAAUCAAAAAGACAAAAAUAAUAAACAAACAAUAAUAAAAAACAGCACACCUUGGGGAAGGGGGUGAAUCUUAUUUCCAGAAUUGCCACAUUACUAGGUUCAAAUAUCUAGUUUUCAACCAAAAAAUCAUAAGGCAUACAAAGAAACAGGAAAGUUUUGCCCCUUUAAGGAAAAAACUAAACCAACAAAAACUGUCUCUGAAAAAGACGUGAUGGCAAAUCUAUUACAUAGAGAGUAUGAAAAAACUGUCUUAAAGAUGCUCAAAGAACUAAAGAAAAAUU
Molecule: long non-coding RNA, 1408 nt
Organism: Callorhinus ursinus (northern fur seal)
Lineage: Eukaryota; Metazoa; Chordata; Mammalia; Carnivora; Otariidae
Source: RefSeq, a predicted model, not a curated record